AUUGAACGCUGGCGGCAUGCCUUACACAUGCAAGUCGAACGGUAACGCGGGGCAACCUGGCGACGAGUGGCGAACGGGUGAGUAAUGUAUCGGAACGUGCCCAGUUGUGGGGGAUAACUGCUCGAAAGAGCAGCUAAUACCGCAUACGACCUGAGGGUGAAAGCGGGGGAUCGCAAGACCUCGCGCAAUUGGAGCGGCCGAUAUCAGAUUAGGUAGUUGGUGGGGUAAAGGCUCACCAAGCCAACGAUCUGUAGCUGGUCUGAGAGGACGACCAGCCACACUGGGACUAAGACACGGCCCAGACUCCUACGGGAGGCAGCAGUGGGGAAUUUUGGACCAUGGGCGCAAGCCUGAUCCAGCCAUGCCGCGUGCGGGAAGAAGGCCUUCGGGUUGUAAACCGCUUUUGUCAGGGAAGAAAAGACUCCUGUUAAUACCGGGGGUUCAUGACGGUACCUGAAGAAUAAGCACCGGCUAACUACGUGCCAGCCGCCGCGGUAA
This 498-nucleotide ribosomal RNA is filed under the name uncultured bacterium. Its description in RNAcentral is "partial 16S ribosomal RNA". It matches the Rfam family "Bacterial small subunit ribosomal RNA", at positions 29 to 523 of the family's 1533-position model. The record is from RNAcentral.